RNAcentral lists this ribosomal RNA (484 nucleotides) under uncultured bacterium. RNAcentral's name for it is "bacterial SSU rRNA". It matches the Rfam family "Bacterial small subunit ribosomal RNA", at positions 23 to 506 of the family's 1533-position model. The record is from RNAcentral.
CUCAGGAUUAACGCUGGCGGCAUGCCUAACACAUGCAAGUCGACCGCUGUGCUUGCACAGAGGGGCGAACGGGUGAGUAACACGUAUCUAACCUACCUUAUAGUCUGGAAUAACUGUUGGAAACGACAGCUAAUGCCGGAUAGAAGUCCAUUGGAAUCACUGGAGGACCAAAGGCCCGUUUGGGUCGCUAUUAGAUGGGGAUGCGGCGCAUUAGUUAGUUGGUGAGGUAAUGGCUCACCAAGACGAUGAUGCGUAGCCGGCCUGAGAGGGUGAACGGCCACACUGGAACUGAGACACGGUCCAGACUCCUACGGGGGGCAGCAGUAGGGAAUCUUCCACAAUGGGCGAAAGCCUGAUGGAGCAAUGCCGCGUGAGUGAUGAAGGUCUUCGGAUCGUAAAGCUCUGUUGUAAGGGAAGAACGACGAGUAUAGGAAAUGCUACUCGUGUGACGGGUACCUUACCAGAAAGCCACGGCUAACUACGU